UACAGGAAGAGUGCCCCCGUGCCACUCGCUGGUACAGGCAUGUCCCUUCUGCGUUUUACUGCCUACCACGCACAACUGCUGCUGAUCGCUGUUCAGAUUCCAUAAUCCUGGGCAUGAUGACAAAGGAAGGAGACAAUCACUAGUCCUGUACAGCUUCCCACAGCAAUGAGCAGCACUGCAAGAUACCCCAAAAGCAGGGAACACCCAGGGUUUCAGCAUCAAAGGAACACCUAUGGCAGCUGCCUUGUGAACUGAGCAGCCUCCAGAGCCUCUGACCCUGCAGGACGAAGCCACCAUUGCUGGACUACCCAGUCCUGAUGUGCGAACCAAUCUAGUAGAUUGCUUUUGAAUGUAAACACAUUCUAUUAGUUCCCAGGCCCUAGAGGACCUUAACUCAUACAUUCAUAAUUUUAAAAAAUAUUUAUUUUUGCAUUGUGAUUUUUAUUGUUUUUUUUUUUAAAUGCAAUAUUAGAAUGUCAGAGUGUGGUGACUGUAAAUCAAAUUCUUCUUUUUCCUUGAGUUUUACUUUUUGCUUUUUGUUGUCCCAAUCUGUAAAAGUUCUUUCAUCUGCUGGUUUUCACCGUGUGUGUGUGUGUGUGUGUGUGUGUGUGUGUGUAGGAGUGCUCUUUGUCUGUGUGUGGCUGGUGAUUGAACAUGGAGCCUUGCACAUGCCAGGAAAGCACUUUACUGCUGAGCUAUACUCCAGUUUUGUUAGUUAAAAAAAAUAUUUCUCUUAUCUUUGAGAUUAUAAUGUAAUUAUUUUAUUUCCUUCUUUUCCUCACUUCUCCUUGCUCUUUCAAACUCAUAACCUCUUCUUCAUUAAUGGUUGUUACAUAUCUUAUGCAUACACGCGCACACACACACACACUCACACACACACACACUCACACACUCACACACACACGCAUACACACACACACUCACUCACUCACACACACACUCACACACACACACGCAUACACACACACACUCACUCACACACACACUCACACACACACACUCACUCACACACACACUCACACACACACACUCACACACACACACUCACACACUCACUCACACACACACACUCACACACACACACUCCCACACACACACACUCACACACACACACACACACUCACACAUACACUCACACACACACUCACACACACACACACACACGCAGAUGUGGAACUUGUUCAGUCUGUAUAAUGCUACUCAUUACGUAUGCUUCAGAACUGGCUAUCAGGUCUUGCAUAACCAACUGAUAUGCUCUUCCCUGUAGAAGACUAUUUCUUUCAGUCUCAGUAUUCCUUAGUUGCCUGAAGUUCUUUGUGUAGAGUGGAGGACAAAAUUUUCUUUGCUUGCCUAGAAAGGAAGGGAGGGAAGGAAGAGGAGACAGAAGAGAAGGAUAGUGGGAGAUCCUGUGCUAGGUUUUCUCAAUGGGCUCUGUACUGGUAUUCAUCUUCCACACUGAGCCAAGUGUUGAAAUAUUCAUGUAGUACUCACUGGGCUGAGUCUUGGGAAGUUGUUGAAGUGAAGCUUUGAAUUCUGCGCCUAACAUGAAUCUUGUCCUGACCAUGUGUGUGCCUUUCUCAAGUCCUCAGAAUACAAAGAAACUAAUUUGCUUUUUUGUUGUUCCUUCGUGAUGAGGAGGAGGAGAAAGGGGAGGAGACAGAGUUUCACGUAGCCAAGGCUGGCCUGGAACUCCAGCCACUGAUUCUCCUGCCUCCACCUCCCAAAUGCUGAGAGUGAAGACAUACCCUGUCAUUCCUCCUCCGAAUUCACUUCCUGAAUGCACCACUUUCCAAAGCAAUUCUCUCCUUGACUUUGCUUCCCAACCCAGAAGUGGUCUGCUGUGGCUUCAAGCACAACCUUGCCCUAGGCUGCUACAGGUUUUCUACCAUCUGAUGUUCUGAGCAAAGCCUUUUCCUAGCCUCGGAAGAGAGAGAGAAGAGAACACAUUGACUCCGUCCUUACGGCAGCCCUCAGGCAAGUCACAGAGAGACUAGUGAGAAGGGCCAGCUCUGCUCUCUCUGAACCCGGAACAAAGACCCCACAGUGGGAAUGUGGGCUGCUGUGCUCAAACUUAUCCCUGAGCAAGGGAGGCUCGUGUCGCUGCCCUGGUUUUCCUAGCACUUUGUUCUUCAGAGUUUAAUAAGGCUGGUGAUGACUGUUUCCAUGGGCACACUAGAGCUCACAGCUGUCAGUUUGGUUGUCGUUCCUGAAGUGACCUUCUGAAAGGCUUUCCUGAUGCUGUCCCUUUAGCAUCUGUCUGUGCCUGACUUUAAUAUGGCUGAGGCUGCAUAACUGAGUGUCACCACAGUGGCAGAGCCAUCUCCAUCCCCGACUUUUUCAGCAUUUGCAUCUGUGCAUUCUAACCUGGUUCUUAUCCAUGGGUGAGCUUGUUGCAUUCCACCUGACAGUUCAGUCCCCACGGAAACAUCAAACCUUUCACACACGUGGAGUGCACGUGUGCCUGAGGUUAAGUUGUAUCCCUUAUAGAGAUUUCUGAUGGUUCUUGUCUUUCUGCCUUCUUAAAAUACAGCACCCGUGCAUUCUUCCUUCUAUCAUGGUUUGAAAGUAAUGUGCUAUUCUUGUCCUUACAGCUCUCGCCUUGGAAAUCCACAGAGGUAUGCUUGGCUUGGCUUAGGUCACAUGAGAAUUCCUCCCCACCUCAG
This 2663-nucleotide long non-coding RNA is filed under the name Mus musculus (house mouse). Its description in RNAcentral is "predicted gene, 40264". Lineage: Eukaryota; Metazoa; Chordata; Mammalia; Rodentia; Muridae. The record is from RNAcentral.